Molecule: long non-coding RNA, 1164 nt
Organism: Sander lucioperca (pikeperch)
Lineage: Eukaryota; Metazoa; Chordata; Actinopteri; Perciformes; Percidae
Exons: 2
Source: RefSeq, a predicted model, not a curated record
UAUGUAAAUGGGAAACUGUUGGCUAACAAGUUAACAAGUUCACCAUGACAACUUUAGAAAAGUGACAAUAUGUCCGUGUUGUUUACACUACCCCCACGUUGCCAGAAACUAAGUUAAUACAUUUAAUAUUUAUACAGAAUCCCACUCUACGAAAAGCAUCAUUACUGAGAAACCUCUUUGAAGGAAAUGCUGAAGGCCACUGUAAAGUAUAAUCCACAACUCAUCGUGCAAUAACAAUGCAGCACAUACGGGCCCCUGAAUGAUUUCCUCUUCUCUGAAGUCCAGCGGUUCAACCGAGGGUCAGAGUCUGAGCCCUUCAUGAGCUUCCUCCUCCUUAACUGGACGUCAUUGAAAGGACCAUCAACACAGCACAGGUGGGGCUGUAAACAACAGCCAGCCUGCUGUUUAACUGGCUCUUUAUCGAAUGUGAGGCUGUGGAAAAUGUGUUACUCGGUGGUUGGACAUAUUUGUUAUGUUACAUAAGAAGGGAAGCGGCAAUGUUUAUGCAUUUAAUUACGAGCUGAACAUGAAUUGAUAAGCGAAGUGCUCCGAGCUGUUUCAGUUCAUGAAUACUUUUGACUCCUUGAGAGUUUGUUUUUAAAGGUGUGGGUGUGAAGGGGGGGGGUUUUAUUGCCCAGGGCUCAGGUAGCAGAUAAGAGAUAAGACAGUUAUGGAACCAUGAAAUUAAGAUCUGCCAACCCUCACAGCACUCAAGUUAGAAGGAAGUGCACACCCCUUGCUCCAGACUUACUAAAUAAAGGCACAAUCACACAGUCAGACACCAAAGCUUUUGUUUUGUGACAAGUAGAGUCAAAACUCGCUUUGUCAUGUCUCAUUUCAAGACACUCCUUCUACUGAUGCAGCUUCAGAAAGAUGAAGAUUUCAUUUCUGAGGCUUCAGUUUUAGCAACACCAACAACUUUACCUACUUGUAUUUAUUUCACUUCUUUUUAUGACUGGUAUUUAGAUUGAGGUUCUUUUACCAAUAACACAGCCAGCUUUAUGUAGAAAACAAAGAAAAAGCAGAAUUGUCUUCACGUCGCCUGUAUGUAUGUGUAUAAUAAUAGUAUUAGGGCCCUAUUUUAACAAUCUGAGCACACAGCGUGAAGCGCUUGGCGCAGGUGCGUUUAGGCCGUGUCCAAAUCCACUUUUGCUUGUUUGACGG